UGACAAGAAUGAGACUUUAAUCAGUUUUAAGUGGAGUUUUAACACUAAGAGAUAAAGGGUUGUUAAACACAAUAACAAACGGACAUCUGAUUUGUAUGAGGCAUUAUCCUGUACAUGUCAUACUUGGGUUUUGUGUAUUCUCAGUUACACACAGAGCCACUGUUGCACAGCACAAUAGUAUUUGAAGAGGCUGAAUCAGAGUAAGGCUGCUUAACAGACUGAUUUUUUUUUUAGUAUCUAUAUAUAUAUAUGCUAUAUGAAAACAGACUGAAAAUUUGAACCGGCAGAGAAAGGCAGCUCUGCCAAACACUGCAGUUGGAGCCCCUUUUAGUGCACAGUUCCACCCCAUCCAUCUGCAUGCAUGACACUUUCUAACAGUAUUUAAAAGGUAAACGAGGCACUUCGUGGCAACCGCAGGCAUCGUUAACAUAUUGCACACAUUUGCUAUGACUAAACAUGGAACUUGCACACUAACAUCCUAUUUUUUUAGUAUUUUUCUUUUUUUUUUUUUUCUGAAAGCUGAAACAUUUGAUGCUGCAUGUAAACUCCACUUCAGUUUACAAUGUAUGCCACAGGAACAAAUCCGGAAGCUAUUUAUACAACUGCCCUUUAAUAGCUGUGGCAAAGAGUUUGAGUGGGGCUACCAAUGACUAGGGGAUGCUUCGGGGCCUCACAGUAAGCUCUUACCAAAGUGAUGCCUUCAAGUAGUUUCAGACGUGUAAGCCGUUGCACAUCUAAAAAGGUUUAAGCAUACAGUCCAGAAACUCAAGGAAAGAUUACCUACAGAAUGCAGUUCAAGCUAAUUAUGAAUACUGUCAUAAAUAAAGUUUUAAUAAGGACUCAAAAACCUUUCAGUCAUAGUAAUUCUUGUCAACUUCUAUGGGGGUGGUAACUGAAAUAAAGUAUAGGAGAGUAUGUAUAAUAUAUAUAUUUAUAUAUAUAAUAUAUAUAUAAUGCCAUUUUUCCAUUUCCAAUGACUACACCAUAAAAUGUAAGCAAGGCUGCUCAGACAUCGAAACAUUCAAAAUAAUCAAAAACCCUCAUUCCAACCUUCACAUUCCAAAGGAAAAAUAACAGUGCAAAAGCCCAUUGCGUCAUGAUUUCCAAUCCAGCCCUCAGUGUUACAUAGCAGAACCACACCAAUCCAAUUUUUACUAUCCAAAGUGGGACACGCAGCAGUGUCAAUAUCCGAAUACUUUUAAAGCACAACCAUUUUUGUUUAUUAGCCAACACAAUUUUCAACUGUUAAAAAACAGACAAUGUGAAACAUGAUUUGAAGGGUAAGAGUUAAACGUCAUGUCCCAAGGUAACCACCUCCUGCUUGUCAAUAACAGUGGGAAUAAUGAGUGCUGGAACCAGCAAUCUUGAACCAUUAAGCUACUGAAGUGUAAUUAAACCUGUAAGAAAAUAUUUAUCGGCUUUAUUAGAAGUUAGAAUCAUAAAUCUGACGAGCAAAAUUGACCAACAGAUACCAAAGAAAAAAAAAAGGAAAAAAAAAAGGAAAAAAAAAAAAAAGGCAUUUUAUACCUUCGUUUACCAAUAAUAAUUACUGAAAAUCCUGCCUUGUCUCAUUCAAAUUCUUACCAUUAAUGCUGUUGUACAGGGCCCUUACAGAUUCCACACACAGUUUUUAUCUAGGUGAGAACACAGCUAAUGAACUUCAAUGUCAGCACCAAUAAGUUAAAGGGGGGGUUGUAUUAUGUCCUAAAAAAAGUGUUAAUUUGGGGACAGCUAUUCAUGGCAUACUUUAGAGAGAACAGUUUUGUCAGCUACUUCACAUUUGUAUGCAACAGUAGUUGUACUCUUAAGUCAUCUGCAGUCUGGGCAUGUCAAUUAAACACUGAAAGUGAAUCUCAAGCCCUACUCCUGGCUAUAUCUCUUAUGAAAAAAUAAUACAAUACUGCCAGUUUAGAAAUCUAAUUUGCUGGGUGGUUUGUUGUUUUGGUGUUGGGUUGAUGUCUUUUUUUGAAUAUAUUUGGGACAAGCUCUGCUUUUUAAAAGUACGCAUCUUCAUGUAUGCACAGUGUUGAGAAUUUACUGCAACACUGGUUUCCUCUAUAUUGUGUGUAAUGUCUGUUUUUAAAACAUCAUAGGUACUGAGUAUUCAAGUAAAAUUCCCUAACAGUUACUGACGAGUUUUUUUUAAAAGUGUGCAAAACUGCAAAACUCAUUGUAAUAGAAUGUGUAAGGUCAAAGGGGCGGAACAGCCAACAGAGGUUUGAUUGAAUAAAUGCAUCAUAAAUCUUCAAAACAAACAUUAACCUGGAGCAUCUCCAAUUGAAAUUUCCUGUGCACCAUUACAAAAUAUUUUUACAUUAAUGAGAAAGAAAAGCUUGCAAGGCAGCACAUGAAGUAUUCACAGCAGGAAUAUGAUUGAAAAACUAAUAAUAUAAAUGUAAGAUGUUGACUGAUGUAUGCACUAAUGGCAUCUGACUUUUAGCACUGGCCUUGAUUACACAGGAGAUGGAGCAGCCAUUACAAUCCAUAAAAAACCCAAUUAAUAAAUCAUUGUCAAAUUUUGUAACAAUUUGUUUCAAGCCCAUACUUUAGUUGAUAGCCUCCACAUUUGUAUGGUUAAGUCAUUGUUGCUGUGUUUCCUUUCUGUGACCCCAAUAAUUUUUCUCCCUUCAUUUGCGGGUCUUUAGGAUGUUGCAAAGGUUCAUUCCUGUACCCCUAAACAGAAUCACUC
Strigops habroptila (Kakapo) is the source of this 2689-nucleotide long non-coding RNA. NCBI's taxonomy places the organism in Eukaryota, Metazoa, Chordata, Aves, Psittaciformes, Psittacidae. The record is from Ensembl.